RNAcentral lists this ribosomal RNA (382 nucleotides) under uncultured archaeon. RNAcentral describes it as "bacterial SSU rRNA". It matches the Rfam family "Archaeal small subunit ribosomal RNA", at positions 345 to 727 of the family's 1478-position model. The record is from RNAcentral.
AAACUCUACAAUGCAGGCAACUGCGAUAGGGGAACAUCGAGUGCUCAUCAUAUUGGUGGGCUGUCCCACCGUCUAAAAAACGGUGGUUAGCAAGGGCCGGGCAAGACCGGUGCCAGCCGCCGCGGUAAUACCGGCGGCUCGAGUGGUGGCCGAUAUUAUUGAGUCUAAAGGGUCCGUAGCCGGCUUUGCAAGUCUUUUGGGAAAUCCAGCGGCUUAACCGUUGGGCGUCCGGGAGAUACUACAUUGCUUGGGACUGGGAGAGGUAAGAGGUACUCAGGGGGUAGGAGUGAAAUCCUGUAAUCCUUUGGGGACCACCGGUGGCGAAGGCGUCUUACCAGAACAGGUCCGACGGUGAGGGACGAAAGCUAGGGGCACGAACCGG